GUGCAGCAGUCGCGAAAACUCCGCAAUACGCGAAAGCGUGACGGGGCUACCCCGAGUGUCGUCCGCUGAGGACGACUUUUCCACGCUGUAAGGAGGCGUGGGAAUAAGGAGAGGGCAAGUCUGGUGUCAGCCGCCGCGGUAAUACCAGCUCUCCGAGUGGUAGGGACGAUUAUUGGGCUUAAAGCGUCCGUAGCCGGCUCAGCAAGUCUCCCGUUAAAUCCAACGAUUCAAUCGUUGGACUGCGGGAGAUACUGUUGAGCUAGGAGGCGGGAGAGGCCGACGGUAUUCCCGGAGUAGGGGUGAAAUCUUAUAAUUCCGGGAGGACCACCAGUGGCGAAGGCGUCACGCUAGAACGGAUCCGACGGUCAGGGACGAAGCCCAGGGGCGCAAACGGGAUUAGAUACCCCGGUAGUCC
Molecule: ribosomal RNA, 415 nt
Filed under: uncultured crenarchaeote
Lineage: Archaea; Thermoproteati; Thermoproteota
Description: partial 16S ribosomal RNA
Rfam family: Archaeal small subunit ribosomal RNA
Source: RNAcentral